Molecule: long non-coding RNA, 556 nt
Filed under: Brachypodium distachyon (stiff brome)
Lineage: Eukaryota; Viridiplantae; Streptophyta; Magnoliopsida; Poales; Poaceae
Description: long non-coding RNA (BDIS_LNC000274)
Source: RNAcentral
CGAUCACGUGCCCCACCUUCGUCUUCAGCUCGUCCAGCGACGUGAUCUUCAUCCACUUGGGCCGCUCCUGCACCCACCCAACAGUUCAUUCAGUUCCAGGUUUCUAAUUACUUCCUCUGAUUCAUAAUAAGUGUCGCGGGCCGCUCCUGCACCCACCCAACAGUUCAUUCAGUUCCAGGUUUCUAAUUACUUCCUCUGAUUCAUAAUAAGUGUCGCCGAUCUAAGUACAAGUCUGAACUUAUAGUAGAACUUGUUGAAUCACCUUGAGAGCGAACAUCCCGAAGAGGGAUGAUCCCUGCAGGGCGCGGUCGGAUUCGGAGGGCGCGUCGGUGGGGGCGUUGCUGAUGAACAGCCCGUAGAGGCCCAUCCCGAAUAUCAGCAUCACGGUGCCGGCAAGAUACACAUCUGCAUAUGCAUGGCAACGGCCAAGUACCCAAAAAAGCACCAUCAGAUUCUUCAGAGAAAUCUUAGGAAGUGACACUCGAUCGUUCUACAUCAUAUUUUAUCAGAACGGAUCGAUCGGAACAUGUAGAUGAUGAAUGUGAGCCAGCACUCA